GGAGUUAGCCGGUGCUUCUUCUGUGAGUGAUGUCCUUCCUGCCGGCUAUUAACCCGCAGGCCUUCUUCCUCACUGAAAGUGCUUUACAACCCGAAGGCCUUCUUCACACACGCGGCAUGGCUGGAUCAGGGUUGCCCCCAUUGUCCAAUAUUCCCCACUGCUGCCUCCCGUAGGAGUCUGGGCCGUGUCUCAGUCCCAGUGUGGCUGAUCAUCCUCUCAGACCAGCUACGGAUCGUCGCCUUGGUGAGCCGUUACCUCACCAACCAGCUAAUCCGACAUAGGGCUCAUCCGAUAGCGCGAGGCCCGAAGGUCCCCCGCUUUCCCCCGUAGGGCGUAUGCGGUAUUAGCCUGGGUUUCCCCAGGUUAUCCCCCACUACCGGGCAGAUUCCUAUGCAUUACUCACCCGUCCGCCGCUCGCCACCAGGGAGCAAGCUCCCCGUGCUGCCGCUCGACUUGCAUGUGUUAGGCCUGCCGCCAGCGUUCAAUCUGAACCAGAUCAAAUUCUGA
RNAcentral lists this ribosomal RNA (507 nucleotides) under uncultured bacterium. Its description in RNAcentral is "partial 16S ribosomal RNA". The record is from RNAcentral.